UCGGAAUUGCUAGUAAUCGCGGAUCAGCAUGCCGCGGUGAAUACGUUCCCGGGCCUUGUACACACCGCCCGUCACACCAUGGGAGCCGGUAAUACCCGAAGUCAGUAGUCCAACCACGUGAGGACGCUGCCGAAGGUAGGAUUGGCGACUGGGGUGAAGUCGUAACAAGGUACC
Molecule: ribosomal RNA, 174 nt
Filed under: uncultured bacterium
Lineage: Bacteria
Description: partial 16S ribosomal RNA
Rfam family: Bacterial small subunit ribosomal RNA
Source: RNAcentral